Molecule: ribosomal RNA, 259 nt
Filed under: uncultured bacterium
Lineage: Bacteria
Description: partial 16S ribosomal RNA
Rfam family: Bacterial small subunit ribosomal RNA
Source: RNAcentral
UACGUAGGUGGCGAGCGUUGUCCGGAUUUAUUGGGUUUAAAGGGUGCGUAGGCGGCCCUGUAAAGUCAGUGCCUCGAAAUACCCCGGCUUAACCGGGGGGGUGGCAUUGAUAGCUGCAGGGCUUGAGUACAGAUGAGGUAGGCGGAAUUGACGGUGUAGCGGUGAAAUGCAUAGAUAUCCGUCAAGAACACCGAUAGCGAAAGGCAGCUUACUGGGCUGUAACUGACGCUGAUGCACGAAAGUGUGGGGAUCAAACAGG